RNAcentral lists this transfer RNA (72 nucleotides) under Desmophyllum pertusum. RNAcentral describes it as "Lophelia pertusa tRNA". It matches the Rfam family "tRNA". Rfam says of the family: Transfer RNA (tRNA) molecules are approximately 80 nucleotides in length. Their secondary structure includes four short double-helical elements and three loops (D, anti-codon, and T loops). The record is from Rfam by way of RNAcentral. Lineage: Eukaryota; Metazoa; Cnidaria; Anthozoa; Scleractinia; Caryophylliidae.
UCCCCGGUGGUGUAGUGGGUAUCAUGCCCGACUAGUAUCCGGGAGACGCGGGUUCAAAUCCUGUUCGGGACA